This 2188-nucleotide long non-coding RNA is filed under the name Nicotiana benthamiana. Its description in RNAcentral is "long non-coding RNA (NBEN_LNC034936)". The record is from RNAcentral. Lineage: Eukaryota; Viridiplantae; Streptophyta; Magnoliopsida; Solanales; Solanaceae.
GGGGACUAGCCUUACCUGCAAGCAGCACUGGCAAAAUGAUUAAAAGAAAAUUGUUCAAUCACCCAUAUUAUUUACUAAAAAAUAUGUUACAUAAUGAACAUUAAUUUUAAAAAACAAGUCAAAUAUGGAUAGUAACCAUAUUAUCCAUUUACAAAAUAGCUAACUAAUAGGUUUAAUUUUUAUAUUUGUAUAAAACUUUAAUUUGGGGGUUGCUCAAGUUUGGGAAACAGGGAGUUCUCCCAAAAGUGAUCAUAUUCAAGAAACCUUAUGAUUACCCGUAUUAUCUCUGGUAAUUAAUCCAUUUUUUAUCCGUAUUAAAUAUAAAUCGGAUCAAAUAAUUAUUCAUUUUUCUAUUACCUAUUUUCGACCCGUCCCGUUUAUCUACCGCCCCCACCAGUAAGUUAUCACAUAAGGACAGAGUCAUUGUCAUUGUCCUUCAAAAAAUAGGGAUGGUCCUAUAAAGGCACCACAUCCCUAUGACAAAAAUAUGACUAAUCAAACAAAGAAGUAUGUCUCAUGAUUCAAAUUUAAUGGUUACAAAGUUAUGAGUUCGCUGAAAACAUACAUUCAAAAGUAAAUAUUUUUAGAUUUUUCACACAAACAAACAUACACAUAUCUAUAUUUUUUUCUAAACUUUCUUCAAGUUAAAUUUUAUGAGAAACAACUUCUCUAACUUCAUAAGGUAGGGAUAAAGUCUCCGUACAAACUAUUCCCUUAAGAGCCCGGAUUAUACUAAUUUAUUGUUGUUGUAUAUAUAUUAUUUAUGUCGAAUAUGAUGGAUUUAAUUGAACACACCUUAACACUAUUUAUCCGCCCUUGCUGAUCACAGUUACUUUUUUGUUCUGCUGUAUAUCGAAACUAUAUAUUAUAAUAUUAACUAGUUUGAAUACCAUAAAUUGCAGGAAGUUUGGACACUAUGCAGAAUAUUCAAGAGGACUUCAAAUUACAAGAGAUUUACACCAGAUUGGAAGCAGCCCAUUAUUAAACAAAGUUUUGGUGAUGCAAGUUCAAAAGCAUGCAGUCUUCAAUCUGAAACAAGUGAUAAUCACUCUAUUAAUAUCAACUUCAAGAAGAUGGAAUUUCCACAUAAGAACAAUAAUACAGCAAUUGGAGGAAAUUAUCAAGUUGAUCAAAGAAACACUGAUUGCAAUAAUAGCCAACGAAUAAUUACCAUGCUUCAAUCUUCAAUCACAUCAUCAAACUCAAGCUUUUGGAAUACAAGUGCUGAAGAGCAGUAUUUGUUUAGUGAUGGAAACUGGGAUGAGCUCAAAUCCGUCGUUGAUUUAGCUAUUGAUCCUUGUAGUCUUUUUGGAUUUAGAUAAACUGCACAAGGACCGGGUGCAGAAAUUGAGGUGCUGAAUCAGUGGUGAAUUCAAAAUUUAGAGUCAACGGGCUAUGUUUUUAAUCUAUGUCGAGCUAGAUGCAGCGGGUUUGACAUGGUUCUAUUAUUUAUGUAUGUGUUAUUUCACACAUAUAUAUAGUUCGAGCCAGAAACAACGAGUUCCAAAUGAGUUGGAUAGACGACACAGAAAGUACAUCUAUCUAUGCAUGACGUACCACUUGUUAUUGCCUGCUGUUACACGACUAUGUUUAGUUGCGAUUGAAGUUAAAACAGAAUGCAGAUCAGGUAAGAUACACCCCCAAGAGAGAGCACCAUUCUACUUAUUUUUCGAUCUGCACUUCCCUAUUUCUCUAACUAGCGUUCUGCAUUUCUAGUUAAUUAGGACUGAGAUUUAUCUUGUAAAGUACGAAUUUUCUAGACACUGCCUUCUUCUUGUUCAGAAUUUCACAGAGUACUUUUUGUUUGGAAUAAAAUAAGAUGGAGUAAUAUUUUAUGAGGGAAAAUAUAUGGUUUCCCAAACUCAAAAUAGUUGUACCAAAGUCAACUACUUACAAAGACAUCAACUUAUAACUAAUUCUAGUCACAACACAAACUCAAAAAGUUUAUGAUUUUACAAAGGGGCUCCUAAGCAACGCUUCUAGCUAAGAAAUUUUGGAAUUACAAUAGCAACAAUCACAAAGUUACAACUCAAGUAAGGACAACAAAAUACUAGAUUUAGGAACUAGUCCGUAGUAGCGUUUAACUUUGUUCUUCAAGCUCUUGAGGAUUGAGUUCACUAUUUUCAGAAGGCUUGAAUGCUUGAAGUUAAUCCAAAGUGUUCAAGUGAUGUUUUUGUUAUAAUGCUCU